UACGUAGGGUGCAAGCGUUGUCCGGAAUUAUUGGGCGUAAAGAGCUCGUAGGCGGUUUGUCGCGUCGGCUGUGAAAAUCCGGAGCUCAACUCCGGACCUGCAGUCGAUACGGGCAGACUAGAGUGCUGUAGGGGAGACUGGAAUUCCUGGUGUAGCGGUGAAAUGCGCAGAUAUCAGGAGGAACACCGGUGGCGAAGGCGGGUCUCUGGGCAGUAACUGACGCUGAGGAGCGAAAGCGUGGGGAGCGAACAGG
RNAcentral lists this ribosomal RNA (253 nucleotides) under uncultured bacterium. RNAcentral describes it as "partial 16S ribosomal RNA". It matches the Rfam family "Bacterial small subunit ribosomal RNA", at positions 524 to 776 of the family's 1533-position model. The record is from RNAcentral.